CAACAGAUUGAGAGUUUCAGAUAAUACUGAAACUCUGUGAGGGCUAGGGAAAUAGGGAAAGUUAUUAGGGUGUCUGUUACCUUUCUGGAAUCGACGGUGAUGGGGAAAGAGGGAUCAAGGGAAGCACUGAUGGCGGCAGCAGCAGAGUCGUGGGAGCGGAAGGUGAUGAAACCGAGACCACCAUGGACUUGCGGUCGAGGACGGAGCAGUUUUGGCCGAGACCAGUCACGACAACCAUCGCAGGGGAGCUCUGCUUAGAAUCGGUGGUGGUGGUGGUGGUGGGCUCCUGUAGACGAUCUCCUAUAUCAACUCUGCCAUUAGAAUGGUGAAGAGGAUGCAUG
Telopea speciosissima is the source of this 341-nucleotide long non-coding RNA. RefSeq lists it as uncharacterized. The record is from RefSeq and is a predicted model, not a curated record. The transcript is spliced from 3 exons. NCBI's taxonomy places the organism in Eukaryota, Viridiplantae, Streptophyta, Magnoliopsida, Proteales, Proteaceae.